UACCGCAUGACGUCUACGGACCAAAGAUUUUAUCUCCCAGAGAUCAGCCCGCGUUGGAUUAGCUAGUUGGGGGGUAAUGGCCCACCAAGGCACGACCCAUAGCUGGUUUGAGAGGAUGAUCAGCAACACUGGGACUGAGACACGGCCCAGACUCCUACGGGAGGCAGCAGUGGGGAAUCUUGGACAAUGGGCGCAAGCCUGAUCCAGCCAUGCCGCGUGAGCGAUGAAGGCCUUAGGGUUGUAAAGCUCUUUCACCGGUGAAGAUAAUGACGGUAGCCGGAGAAGAAGCCCCGGCUAACUCCGUG
This 305-nucleotide ribosomal RNA is filed under the name uncultured bacterium. Its description in RNAcentral is "bacterial SSU rRNA". It matches the Rfam family "Bacterial small subunit ribosomal RNA", at positions 167 to 507 of the family's 1533-position model. The record is from RNAcentral.